This 75-nucleotide antisense RNA is filed under the name Streptomyces sp. MnatMP-M17. Its description in RNAcentral is "ASpks TB sRNA". It matches the Rfam family "ASpks TB sRNA". Lineage: Bacteria; Bacillati; Actinomycetota; Actinomycetes; Kitasatosporales; Streptomycetaceae. The record is from Rfam by way of RNAcentral.
CUUGAGCGAACCGAGCCACAACGGACGCUCCGGAUCACGGUCCUGACCGUAGGUCGCCAGCAGUGCCUGCGCCUC